Molecule: ribosomal RNA, 566 nt
Filed under: Byssochlamys sp. ISTL03
Lineage: Eukaryota; Fungi; Ascomycota; Eurotiomycetes; Eurotiales; Thermoascaceae
Description: eukaryotic LSU rRNA
Rfam family: 5.8S ribosomal RNA (bases 187-340)
Source: RNAcentral
GGGCUUACGAGUGCGGGUCUCGUGGCCACCUCCCACCCGUGUUGACCGACACCUGUUGCUUCGGCGGGCCCGCCAGGGCUCCCGCCCGGCCGCCGGGGGGCCUCGUCGCCCCCGGGCCCGCGCCCGCCGAAGACCCCUCGAACGCUGCCUUGAAGGUUGCCGUCUGAGUAUAAAAUCAAUCGUUAAAACUUUCAACAACGGAUCUCUUGGUUCCGGCAUCGAUGAAGAACGCAGCGAAAUGCGAUAAGUAAUGUGAAUUGCAGAAUUCCGUGAAUCAUCGAAUCUUUGAACGCACAUUGCGCCCCCUGGCAUUCCGGGGGGCAUGCCUGUCCGAGCGUCAUUGCUAACCCUCCAGCCCGGCUGGUGUGUUGGGCCGCCGUCCCCUCCGGGGGACGGGCCCGAAAGGCAGCGGCGGCGCCGCGUCCGGUCCUCGAGCGUAUGGGGCUUUGUCACACGCUCUGGUAGGCCCGGCCGGCUUGCUGGCCAACGACCUCACGGUCACCUAACUUCUCUCUGAGGUUGACCUCGGAUCAGGUAGGGAUACCCGCUGAACUUAAGCAACGUAA